GAGUUCUCGUGAGAUCUGAUGGUUUUAUAAUUAUCUGGCGUUUCCUCUGCUUGCUUUUGUCUCUUUUACCUGCUGCCGUGUAGGACAUACUUCUUCCCCUUCUGCCGUGAUUAUAAGUUUCCUGAGUCCUCCCCAGCCAUGCAGAACUACAUGGAUUCUCACUAUGACACCUAGGCUGGAGUGCAGUGGCACGAUCAUAGCUGACUACAGCCUCGAAUUCCUGGGCUAAAGCAAGCCUUUCAUCUCAACCUCCCCAGAAGCUGGGAUUACAGAUGGUGUCAGAAGCGGGGUUCAAAGUAGAGCUUUAAUGACCCCCAGAAGUGCUGAGUGAACAAGCAGGGUACCUGCAAGAACCCACUUGUGUCCUUUGAUCUCUCAGAGCAGUGGGAUGGUGGUGUUAGAGAGAUGACUGCAAAGGAGGACCUGUCCAUUUACAAGUGCACUUGGAUUCAGUUGACAUACAAUAACUACAUAUAUGUUGAGCAAAUAGAUAGAUGGAUGGAUGGAUGACUGGAUAGAAGAUAUAUUAAACUUUAUUCUGUCUAAAUCUUAAUUAAAAGA
This is a long non-coding RNA of Symphalangus syndactylus (siamang), 561 nucleotides long. RefSeq lists it as uncharacterized. Lineage: Eukaryota; Metazoa; Chordata; Mammalia; Primates; Hylobatidae. The record is from RefSeq and is a predicted model, not a curated record.